CCCUUAGAUGUUCUGGGCCGCACGCGUGCUACACUGAGUAAUUCAAUGGGUAAGGGAACGCUAGAGCAUUACCUAAUCUUGAAAUUUGCUCGUGAUGGGGAUCGACGGUUGCAAUUUUCCGUCGUGAACGAGGAAUACCUUGUAGGCGCAUGUCAUCAUCAUGCUCCGAAUACGUCCCUGCCCUUUGUACACACCGCCCGUCGCUCCUACCGAUUGAGUGAUCCGGUGAGGCUCUGGGACCUGGACGGAAAGAGCGUUUCGCUUGUUCUGUUUGGGAAACUUGGUCGAACCUUAUCAUUUAGAGGAAGGAGAAGUCGUAACA
Molecule: ribosomal RNA, 322 nt
Filed under: uncultured eukaryote
Lineage: Eukaryota
Description: partial 18S ribosomal RNA
Rfam family: Eukaryotic small subunit ribosomal RNA
Source: RNAcentral